GGGGUAAACCUGCGAAACUCGAAUGAACGAACGGAGAGAUUCACCGUCAUUCCGCGGCGUACGGAUGCGCGUCGCGAUGCCCGCCCACCUCGGCCGGCGGGCACGUCGCGCAUCCGUCGACGUCCGUGGACGGCGUGCACUUCUCUCUCAGUAAACAUACAUCGCGACCCGUUCGAUGUCGGUCUAAGCGCCGUUCGGGAGCCCCGCUGUCCCCUAGCGGGGGCGACGGGACCGUUUACGGACGCCGACCGGCCGUCGGACGGUAUUAUUGAUGAAACGCGCACGCGCUUACGGCGCGUCCGGCCCGACGCAAGUCAACGUCGUAUCCGACGUACCGCCCGAGCGCGGACGUAGGUGCGGCGCGUCUGCGUGUAGCCGCCGUGCAGUAUCGGACUGUGCGCGUCUCCGUCUGCGAUGAUUCAGUUUCGGGCACUCGCAGGACCCGUCUUGAAACACGGACCAAGGAGUCUAGCAUGUAUGCGAGUCAUUGAGAUCAAUAUUUAAACUGAAAGGCGUAACGAAAGUGAAGGCGUGCGCUCGUCGCGCGCUCAGGGAGGAUGGAGCGCGGAUCUAGGUCCGCCUCUCGCACUCCCGAGGCGUCUCGUUUCCAAUCCGUGAAUGCAGGCGCGCUC
RNAcentral lists this ribosomal RNA (632 nucleotides) under Baradesa lithosioides. RNAcentral's name for it is "eukaryotic LSU rRNA". The record is from RNAcentral. Lineage: Eukaryota; Metazoa; Arthropoda; Insecta; Lepidoptera; Notodontidae.